AGCGAACGCUGGCGGCAGGCCUAACACAUGCAAGUCGAACGAACCUUUCGGGGUUAGUGGCGGACGGGUGAGUACCACGUGGGAACGUGCCUUUAGGUUCGGAAUAACUCAGGGUAACUUGUGCUAAUACCGCAUGUGCCCUUCGGGGGAAAGAUUUAUCGCCUUUGGAGCGGCCCGGGUAUGUUUAGCUAGUUGGUUGAGGUAACGGCUCACCACGGCGACGAUCAGUGGCUGGUCCGUGAGGAUGAUCAGCCACAUUGGGACUGAGACACGGCCCAAUCUCCUACGGGAGGCAGCAGUGGGGAAUCUUGCGGAAUGGGCGAAAGCCUAACGCAGCCAUGCCGCGUGAAUGAUGAAGGUCUUAGGAUUGUAAUAUUCUUUCUCCGGGGACGAUAAUGACGGUACCCGGAGAAGAAGCCCCGGCUAACUUCGUG
Molecule: ribosomal RNA, 434 nt
Filed under: uncultured bacterium
Lineage: Bacteria
Description: partial 16S ribosomal RNA
Rfam family: Bacterial small subunit ribosomal RNA
Source: RNAcentral